Molecule: ribosomal RNA, 320 nt
Filed under: uncultured bacterium
Lineage: Bacteria
Description: bacterial SSU rRNA
Rfam family: Bacterial small subunit ribosomal RNA
Source: RNAcentral
UGACGGUACCUGACUAAGAAGCACCGGCUAAAUACGUGCCAGCAGCCGCGGUAAUACGUAUGGUGCAAGCGUUAUCCGGAUUUACUGGGUGUAAAGGGAGCGCAGGCGGUUCUGCAAGCCAGAGGUGAAAACCCGGGGCUCAACCCCGUGAUUGCCUUUGGAACUGUAGGACUUGAGUACUGGAGGGGCAGGCGGAAUUCCUGGUGUAGCGGUGAAAUGCGUAGAUAUCAGGAGGAACACCGGUGGCGAAGGCGGCCUGCUGGACAGAAACUGACGCUGAGGCUCGAAAGCGUGGGGAGCAAACAGGAUUAGAUACCCUG